UACAGAGGGUGCAAGCGUGGUUCGGAAUUAUUGGGCGUAAAGCGCGUGUAGGCGGCAUGGCAAGUCGGGUGUGAAAGCCCUCAGCUUAACUGAGGAAGUGCGCCCGAAACUGCCGUGCUUGAGUGCCGGAGAGGGUGGCGGAAUUCCCCAAGUAGAGGUGAAAUUCGUAGAUAUGGGGAGGAACACCGGUGGCGAAGGCGGCCACCUGGACGGUAACUGACGCUGAGACGCGA
RNAcentral lists this ribosomal RNA (233 nucleotides) under uncultured bacterium. Its description in RNAcentral is "partial 16S ribosomal RNA". It matches the Rfam family "Bacterial small subunit ribosomal RNA", at positions 524 to 756 of the family's 1533-position model. The record is from RNAcentral.